Molecule: long non-coding RNA, 425 nt
Organism: Hypanus sabinus (Atlantic stingray)
Lineage: Eukaryota; Metazoa; Chordata; Chondrichthyes; Myliobatiformes; Dasyatidae
Exons: 3
Source: RefSeq, a predicted model, not a curated record
GAAAGAUUAGGAUGGGGAGGCUAAUUGGAAGUUCACGACUGCCUGUCUCUGUGAGCCCAAUGAGUAUUCUGCAAAAUGGCCAUGCAAACCAGAUGCUGCCCAACUUGCAGCAGAUUCCCUGUUUUCCCCCUCGGCAUCUCUCGGCGAGAGUGCAGCACAGUGUUACUUGUACCCAAGGUUGAAGAUGUCAGGGACGACAACAAGAUCAUCUCCUUGAGAGAAGCUGUUUCCAGUGGUUGGAGGAUAUUUAAAAAUCAGAGUGUUCUGCAGUGAAGCCAAGAAACACUCCACACAUCAGAGGACAAGAAAGGUUGACUGCUUCUUUCAGCAAAUUGUCAUCAAUUCAAAGUUGACUGUCAAUUGUAAAUGAUAGGAAUAAUUAUCUGCUGUAUAUUGCCUCUUUGUAUAGGUGGUUGGCAGAUGUG